This is a long non-coding RNA of Oncorhynchus keta (chum salmon), 2155 nucleotides long. RefSeq lists it as uncharacterized. Lineage: Eukaryota; Metazoa; Chordata; Actinopteri; Salmoniformes; Salmonidae. The record is from RefSeq and is a predicted model, not a curated record. The transcript has 4 exons.
UUGAAGCAAGUCAUCAGAAAUGUCAAUCCCAACCAUUCACAGAAACGGUUAGAACAACAGGCUUGAACUAAUACUACAUCUAAGGCUAAUGCUACAUACUGUAGAUCAGGUGUUAAACAAAAGGCUUGCAAGCUGAAUCCGGCCCGUGACACAUUUCCAUCCAGCCCACGCAAUUACUUGGGUUGUCAAUUCAUUUUGGCCCGCCUCCAUACCACCCCGAUGCACUGCAUUGCAUACGUGCUGUACGCCAAAAGGCAGUGCAUUGCCACAGACACACUCCUCCUCCCAGAUCCACACACAAGCCAAAUCGCUGCAUCAUAUCGUCACUAAUGGCCAAAAAACAUUUGAACAGUAGCCUAGACUCAAUUACAAGAAGUCAAUGUGCGGGGGUAAAGGUUAGUCAAGGUAAUUUGUACAUGUAGGUAGGGGUGAAGUGACUAUGCAUAGAUAAUAAACAGUGAGUAGCAGCAAGGUAAAAACAAAUGGAGGGGGAGGGUGUCAAUGUAAAUAGUCUGGGUGACCAUCUGAUUAAUUGUUCAGCAGCCGUAUGGCUUGGGGGUUGAAGCUGUUAAGGAGCCUUUUGGACCUAGACUUGGCGCUCCUGUACCGCUUGCCGUGCGGUAGCAGAGAGAACAGUCUAUGACAGUCUUGGACAAUUUUUGGGGCCUUUCUCUGACACCACCUGGUAUAGUCCCUGGAUGGCAGGAAGCUCGGCCCCAGUAAUGUACUGGGCUGUAGACCCUCUGUACUGCCUUCCGAUCAGUUGCCACACCAGGCGGUAAUACAACCGGUCAGGAUGCUCUCGAUGGAGCAGCUGUGGGACUUUGAGGAACUGAGGAUCCGUGCCAAAUCUUUUUCAGUCUCCCGAGGGGGAAAAGGUGUUGUCGUGCCCUCUCCACAACUGUCUUGGUGUGUUUGGACCAGGAUAGUUUGUUGGUGAUGUGGAAUCCAAAAGAACUUGAAACUCUCGACCCGGUCCACUUGAGUCCUGUCGAUGUUAAUGGCGGCAUGUACGGCCCUACUUUUCUUAUAGUCCACAAUCAGCUCCUUUGACUUGCUCACAUUGAGAGAGCGGUUGUUGUCCUGGCACCACCCGGCCAGGUCUCCGAUCUCCUCCCUGUAGGCUGUCUCAUCGUUGAGGGAGAGGUUGUUGUCCUGGCACCACACUGCCAGGUCUCCGAUCUCCUCCCUGUAGGCUGUCUCAUCGUUGAGGGAGAGGUUGUUGUCCUGGCACCACACUGCCAGGUCUCUGAUCUCCUCCCUGUAGGCUGUCUCAUCGUUGAGGGAGAGGUUGUUGUCCUGGCACCACACUGCCAGGUCUCCGAUCUCCUCCCUGUAGGCUGUCUCAUCGUUGAGGGAGAGGUUGUUGUCCUGGCACCACACUGCCAGGUCUCCGAUCUCCUCCCUGUAGGCUGUCUCAUCGUUGAGGGAGAGGUUGUUGUCCUGGCACCACACUGCCAGGUCUCCGAUCUCCUCCCUGUAGGCUGUCUCAUCGUUGAGGGAGAGGUUGUUGUCCUGGCACCACACUGCCAGGUCUCCGAUCUCCUCCCUGUAGGCUGUCUCAUCGUUGAGGGAGAGGUUGUUGUCCUGGCACCACACUGCCAGGUCUCCGAUCUCCUCCCUGUAGGCUGUCUCAUCGUUGAGGGAGAGGUUGUUGUCCUGGCACCACACUGCCAGGUCUCCGAUCUCCUCCCUGUAGGCUGUCUCAUCGUUGAGGGAGAGGUUGUUGUCCUGGCACCACACUGCCAGGUCUCCGAUCUCCUCCCUGUAGGCUGUCUCAUCGUUGAGGGAGAGGUUGUUGUCCUGGCACCACACUGCCAGGUCUCUGAUCUCCUCCCUGUAGGCUGUCUCAUCGUUGAGGGAGAGGUUGUUGUCCUGGCACCACACUGCCAGGUCUCUGAUCUCCUCCCUGUAGGCUGUCUCAUCGUUGAGGGAGAGGUUGUUGUCCUGGCACCACACUGCCAGGUCUCCGAUCUCCUUCCUGUCUCAUCGCUGUCGGUGAUCUGGCCUAUGACUGUUGUGUCGUCAGCAAACUUAAUGAUUCGAAUUUGGCCAUGCAGUCAUGGGUGAACAGGGAGUACAGGUGGGGACUAAGCACGCACCCGAGGGGCCCCAGCGUGGCAGAUGUGUUGUUGCCUACCCUUACCACCUGGGG